GUGUCAGCAGCCGCGGUAAUACGGAGGAUCCAAGCGUUAUCCGGAUUCAUUGGGUUUAAAGGGUGCGUAGGCGGAACGAUAAGUCAGUGGUGAAAGCCUGUAGCUUAACUACAGAACUGCCAUUGAUACUGUCGAUCUUGAGUAUAUUUGAUGUGGGCGGAAUGUGUCAUGUAGCGGUGAAAUGCUUAGAUAUGACACAGAACACCGAUUGCGAAGGCAGCUCACAAAACUAUAACUGACGCUGAGGCACGAAAGCGUGGGGAUCAAACAGGAUUAGAUACCCUUGUAGUCC
This 292-nucleotide ribosomal RNA is filed under the name uncultured bacterium. RNAcentral's name for it is "partial 16S ribosomal RNA". It matches the Rfam family "Bacterial small subunit ribosomal RNA", at positions 505 to 796 of the family's 1533-position model. The record is from RNAcentral.